UGCUUCUGGAUGUUUGUGAUUCACCGACCAUUAAUAAAUGAGUUCGCAUCAUCUGAUGUUUUCUCCUAUUCGCAUACAGAUGGGUGAGAAAGGGGAAUCUAGUGGUAUGCAGUGGGACAUUCUGGUGGCUUGGUUUGCAUCCACUUAUUCUCUUAGAGGGAAAGAUCACUGCAAAUCUACACAAAGUUAAACAUUUACUACUGUUUUCCAGGAUUACAGUACCUCCCUCCAUAGGGUACAAGGGUCCACUGAGUAACUUGAUGAGCAUGAAAAUUAUUUAAAUAUGCUACUAUGCUAUGGCCUUCACAGACACCAGAUUCCAAUCCAAUUAAACACCUGUAGGAGACUUUGGACAAACUCAUGGUGUAUAUUUGAGAACACCUGCUCACACACUCUAUUAAGACACACCCACAAAGGAUAUUGAUAGACUGUAUGUUUAUAUGUAAGGCACAAGACAAGAUUAAUUUCAAAUUAAAAGACAAAUAAUUGUUAAAGUUGUCGACUCAGUACACUGUGGCCCUGAUUUAAAACCACAUGCAAGCUGAUUUACUACUGAAUGAAUUACUAGAAUUAUAUAGCUCAUGAAUAUGGAAUUGGACCAUUUUUUCCUAAUGGUGAAAAGUAGUGAUCAGAGUCUGGGCUAAAAGAUUAAUUUAUUACUAACAAUAUGACUAAUUUGAGUCACUUUGGGGAAUGGUGUUUGUGUGUUUAACACAAACACACAACCAUACUGUUCUGCUUUAUAUGCUUAAUUAUUAUUAAUGGUACUUGUGAAGCAAAGCAUCACUAUUGUUCUCUUGCAUACUUAUUAUUUAUUAUUUUGGCAACAUACUGAUCUACUAUUUUUAAGAUUAUUGUUAUUAUUAGUACUAGCUUUAUAGGUGCUUGUAAAGCAUAACUAUUGUUCUCUUGCAAUACUUCUUAUUAUUCUUCGCACCGUUUGUCAUAGUUCCAGGAAUGAGGUGUCAAAUCGAUCGACUUAUUGAGAGGUGUGCUAUGACUUUUAUAAGGCAUCAGUAUUCUGGAAUUCCUGAUAUGGAAGCUCAAAGUGGCCAAAAUUCUCAUUGAAAAUUUCUGACUUGAGCUUUCAUGCUACUUCCAAGAAACUCAGCACAGUCAGUCAUGUUAGCAGUGUGUCAAACAGGUAAAACAUGCUAGCAACAAGCUAAAUCAUGUUAGCAGUGUAUUAAAACAUGUUAAUUCAUGCUAGCAACAUGCUAAUUCUGUUAGAAAAAUGUUAGCAAUAUGUUAAAACAUGCUAAUUCAUGCUAGCAACAUGCUAAUUCUGUUAGAAAAAUGUUAGAAAUAUGUUAAAACAUGCUAAUUCAUGCUAGAAUCAUUUUAAACCAUUCUAACAAUAUGUUAAUUCAUGCUAGUGACAUGGUUAAUCAUGCUAGCCAAAUGAUAAUUCAUGCUAGCAAUGUGCUGAAACCUUCUAGCAACAUGCUAGUUCAUGCUAGCAACAUGCUAAGUCAUGUUGUCAGUGUUUUAAACAUGCUAAUUGACCCUAGCAUCCGCUUUGUAACCACCUGGAACACUCUAGCAACCGCCUAGCAACCACCCAGAACUCCGUAGCAACCACCUAGCAACGGCAUAGCAACCACCCAGAACACCCUAGCAGCCACCUAGCAACACCCUAGCAACCACCCAUAACACCCUAGCAACCACCCAUAACACCCUAGCAAACAUUUAGAGCACCCUCGCAACCGUAUAACAUCUUGAAUUAGCCAUUUUUCACCACCAGGACAUUAUACAGACUUAAGGUUUGGCUCUCUUGCAGUCACUUGCAUCACAAUAGCGACUGCCCAGUGCCGAGUUUUAUUAUGGCAAGCACCACUGACCUUUUCUUCAGGAAAUGUGUAUGUCUAGUUAUUCUUCUGAAGAUUUAAAAAAAUAAAUAAA
This is a long non-coding RNA of Ictalurus punctatus (channel catfish), 1902 nucleotides long. RefSeq lists it as uncharacterized. The record is from RefSeq and is a predicted model, not a curated record. The transcript has 2 exons. Lineage: Eukaryota; Metazoa; Chordata; Actinopteri; Siluriformes; Ictaluridae.